UGAAGUCUUCGGAUGGAUAGAAGAACCCCUGAUGCCGUCGAGCCAAGAAAAGUUUCUAAGUUUAGCUAAUGUUGCCCGUACCGUAAACCGACACAGGUGGGUGGGAUGAGUAUUCUAAGGCGCGUGGAAGAACUCUCUUUAAGGAACUCUGCAAAAUAGCACCGUAUCUUCGGUAUAAGGUGUGGUUAGCUUUGUAUUAGGAUUUACUCCGAAAGCAAGGAAACUUACAACAAAGAGUCCCUCCCGACUGUUUACCAAAAACACAGCACUCUGCUAACUCGUAAGAGGAUGUAUAGGGUGUGACGCCUGCCCGGUGCUCGAAGGUUAAUUGAUGGGGUUAGCAUUAGCGAAGCUCUUGAUCGAAGCCCGAGUAAACGGCGGCCGUAACUAUAACGGUCCUAAGGUAGCGAAAUUCCUUGUCGGUUAAAUACCGACCUGCAUGAAUGGCGUAACGAGAUGGGAGCUGUCUCAAAGAGGGAUCCAGUGAAAUUGUAGUGGAGGUGAAAAUUCCUCCUACCCGCGGCAAGACGGAAAGACCCCGUGGACCUUUACUACAGCUUGACACUGCUACUUGGAUAAGAAUGUGCAGGAUAGGUGGGAGGCUUUGAGUAUAUGACGCCAGUUGUAUAUGAGCCAUUGUUGAGAUACCACUCUUUCUUAUUUGGGUAGCUAACCAGCUUGAGUUAUCCUCAAGUGGGACAAUGUCUGGUGGGUAGUUUGACUGGGGCGGUCGCCUCCCAAAUAAUAACGGAGGCUUACAAAGGUUGGCUCAGAACGGUUGGAAAUCGUUCGUAGAGUAUAAAGGUAUAAGCCAGCUUAACUGCAAGACAUACAAGUCAAGCAGAGACGAAAGUCGGUCUUAGUGAUCCGGUGGUUCUGUGUGGAAGGGCCAUCGCUCAAAGGAUAAAAGGUACCCCGGGGAUAACAGGCUGAUCUCCCCCAAGAGCUCACAUCGACGGGGAGGUUUGGCACCUCGAUGUCGGCUCAUCGCAUCCUGGGGCUGGAGCAGGUCCCAAGGGUAUGGCUGUUCGCCAUUUAAAGCGGUACGCGAGCUGGGUUCAGAACGUCGUGAGACAGUUCGGUCCCUAUCUGCCGUGGGCGUAAGAAGAUUGAAGAGAUUUGACCCUAGUACGAGAGGACCGGGUUGAACAAACCACUGGUGUAGCUGUUGUUCUGCCAAGAGCAUCGCAGCGUAGCUAAGUUUGGAAAGGAUAAACGCUGAAAGCAUCUAAGCGUGAAGCCAACUCUAAGAUGAAUCUUCUCUAAGCUCUCUAGAAGACUACUAGUUUGAUAGGCUGGGUGUGUAAUGGAUGAAAGUCCUUUAGCUGACCAGUACUAAUAGAGCGUUUGGCUUAUCUUUAAUAAAGCAU
Molecule: ribosomal RNA, 1370 nt
Filed under: Campylobacter jejuni
Lineage: Bacteria; Pseudomonadati; Campylobacterota; Epsilonproteobacteria; Campylobacterales; Campylobacteraceae
Description: partial 23S ribosomal RNA
Rfam family: Bacterial large subunit ribosomal RNA
Source: RNAcentral